GGCUCCGUAGCUCAGCAGGAUAGAGCGACGGUUUCCUAAACCGCAGGUCGGGGGUUCGAGUCCCUCCGGGGCCACCA
RNAcentral lists this transfer RNA (77 nucleotides) under Sphingomonas sp. RNAcentral's name for it is "tRNA-Arg". It matches the Rfam family "tRNA". Rfam says of the family: Transfer RNA (tRNA) molecules are approximately 80 nucleotides in length. Their secondary structure includes four short double-helical elements and three loops (D, anti-codon, and T loops). RNAcentral also lists the same sequence under 5 other names. Lineage: Bacteria; Pseudomonadati; Pseudomonadota; Alphaproteobacteria; Sphingomonadales; Sphingomonadaceae. The record is from RNAcentral.